AAUUGACGGGGCCCGCACAAGCGGUGGAGUAUGUGGUUUAAUUCGAUGCAACGCGAAGAACCUUACCUGGGUUGGAAACCCCUGGAAUCCUGCAGAGAUGUGGGAGUGCUCUUUUAGAGAAUCAGGUGUCCAGGUGCUGCAUGGUUGUCGUCAGCUCGUGUCGUGAGAUGUUGGGUUAAGUCCCGCAACGAGCGCAACCCCCGCCGUUAGUUGCCAGCGGUUCGGCCGGGCACUCUAACGGGACUGCCCGCGAAAGCGGGAGGAAGGAGGGGACGACGUCUGGUCAGCAUGGCCCUUACGGCCUGGGCGACACACGUGCUACAAUGCCCACUACAAAGCGAGGCCACCCGGCAACGGGGAGCUAAUCGCAAAAAGGUGGGCCCAGUUCGGAUUGGGGUCUGCAACCCGACCCCAUGAAGCCGGAAUCGCUAGUAAUCGCGGAUCAGCCAUGCCGCGGUGAAUACGUUCCCGGGCCUU
This 477-nucleotide ribosomal RNA is filed under the name uncultured Thermus sp. Its description in RNAcentral is "bacterial SSU rRNA". It matches the Rfam family "Bacterial small subunit ribosomal RNA", at positions 908 to 1382 of the family's 1533-position model. Lineage: Bacteria; Thermotogati; Deinococcota; Deinococci; Thermales; Thermaceae. The record is from RNAcentral.